RNAcentral lists this ribosomal RNA (446 nucleotides) under uncultured bacterium. Its description in RNAcentral is "bacterial SSU rRNA". It matches the Rfam family "Bacterial small subunit ribosomal RNA", at positions 30 to 464 of the family's 1533-position model. The record is from RNAcentral.
AUUGAACGCUGGCGGCAUGCCUUACACAUGCAAGUCGAACGGCAGCACGGGAGCUUGCUCCUGGUGGCGAGUGGCGAACGGGUGAGUAAUGCAUCGGAACGUGCCCUGAAGUGGGGGAUAACGUAGCGAAAGUUACGCUAAUACCGCAUAUUCUGUGAGCAGGAAAGCAGGGGAUCUUCGGACCUUGCGCUUUUUGGAGCGGCCGAUGUCGGAUUAGCUAGUUGGCGGGGUAAAGGCCCACCAAGGCGACGAUCCGUAGCGGGUCUGAGAGGAUGAUCCGCCACACUGGAACUGAGACACGGUCCAGACUCCUACGGGAGGCAGCAGUGGGGAAUUUUGGACAAUGGGCGCAAGCCUGAUCCAGCCAUGCCGCGUGAGUGAAGAAGGCCUCGGUUGGUUAAAGGUCGUACUUUUCCGGUUGGGGGUAAGGAAAGUUAGCUUGGGUU